This 374-nucleotide unclassified non-coding RNA is filed under the name plant metagenome. RNAcentral describes it as "partial contains 5.8S ribosomal RNA, internal transcribed spacer 2, and large subunit ribosomal RNA". The stretch from base 1 to 102 matches the Rfam family "5.8S ribosomal RNA", at positions 49 to 154 of the family's 154-position model. The record is from RNAcentral.
CAAACUGUGAUAAUUAAUAUGAAUUGCAGAAUUCUGUGAAUCAUCGAGAUGUCGAACGCACUGCGCCUGGGGGCAACCUCGGGCACGUCUGGUCGAGUGACGAUUAACUCUGAACCUACUACCCCAUUAGGGGUCUGUUUGGUUCGAUAUGCGGGCUGUGGGGCUUGCUUCACUCCUGUUAAAUGCCAACCUUGCCUUUAACAAUGCAAUCUUGUAACCAGGAUAUAUUUUUACCCUGGCCACAUGCAGUUUGGGUAAGGAUCACCAAUAUGUUGGACAAACCAAAUUAUAAGGUGUUCACCCAUCUUUUUGAGUGGCAUCUUAGACCAAAAAACCGUCCUCGACUCAGGCGGGACUACCCGCUGAACUUAAGC